UACGGUGGGGGCAAGCGUUGCUCGGAAUCAUUGGGCGUAAAGCGCACGUAGGCGGCCCAGCAAGUCGGGUGUGAAAGCCCUCGGCUUAACCGAGGAAGUGCAUUCGAAACUACUGAGCUUGAAUACUGGAGAGGAUCGCGGAAUUCCCGGUGUAGAGGUGAAAUUCGUAGAUAUCGGGAGGAACACCAGUGGCGAAGGCGGCGAUCUGGACAGAUAUUGACGCUGAGGUGCGAAAGCGUGGGGAGCAAACAGG
Molecule: ribosomal RNA, 253 nt
Filed under: uncultured bacterium
Lineage: Bacteria
Description: partial 16S ribosomal RNA
Rfam family: Bacterial small subunit ribosomal RNA
Source: RNAcentral